RNAcentral lists this long non-coding RNA (1317 nucleotides) under Chinchilla lanigera (long-tailed chinchilla). Its description in RNAcentral is "lncRNA (ENSCLAG00000025346.1)". Lineage: Eukaryota; Metazoa; Chordata; Mammalia; Rodentia; Chinchillidae. The record is from RNAcentral.
AUGAUCUGGACACUAAACUCUGUGAAGACCCAGGGACUAAAGCAGACAAAGAUGCUGAGUAACAAACACCUGGACACCAGCUCGACAGGAACGGUUCUACUGGGGCUGGAGGGCCAGGUAGCUCCAGGCCUCAGUAGACUGCAAGACACAAGCAGCGGAACUUGGACCUUAUCCCGGUGGCAGUGGGAUGCCUCAGAGUGACAUGAACAGGUUUGUGUCUCAACCCUGCUGAUGGCUGCCCUGAGGAUUCACCACUGAAUGCAGCGUCCAGAGGAGAGAGCUAAGCAAGGCAGCUCGUUGAGGCACAGAGAUAACACACUAGAGACAACCGGACCAGAGUGAGGAGGAGGAAGAGCAGCUUAUGAAGAUCCUGGUUUCUGGCAUAGGUGACAGCUGUCAGAAACAAGGGCAGGAACAGAAGAGGAAGAGCAGGAUUUGAGGAUAGAGAACCCGUUCAGUCAUUCAUAGAUGAGCUGCGAGCAUCUGUGGGCCUUUUGGACAUGUCUGCUCUUUAGACACGGCGACCUGGAGUUCAGGACGGAUGGCUGGGCUUGAGAAAUGGAUUUGAGAGUCCCAGUAUGCACAAGAUAGUAGAAGCAGCAGGCAUGCGCGACCUUAUCCAUGCCUGUUUUCAAUAAAAUAAGGUGCAUUUUGUAUUGUAGUAAAAUUCACGUAAGAAUUACCAUACUAGCUGGAUGUAGUGGCAUGUGCCUAUAAUCCCAGCACUCUUGGAGGCUGAAGCAGGAGGAUCACACGUUUGAGCUCAGCCUGGGCAAGUUAACAACUUAGUAAGACUUUGUCUCAAAAAAUGAAAUAAAAAAGAAAGAGCAAGGGAUAUAGCUCAGUGGUAUAAGCACCUACCUGGAAAACAUAAGGUCCUGAGUUAGAUUCCUGGUACCGAAAAGGGAGUGGGGCUAGAAAUAUAACUCAUUGAAGGUCCUAGGUUCAAUCUCUAGGUCAUUUCUCUAAAAAGAAAUGACCAUACUUAGUCUUUUAAAGUAUACAACUCAGUGGCAUUUAGUAUAUGCCCAGUGUUUUCCAAUUGCCACACUAAUUCUUGAGUAUUUUCACGACUGUAACAGGAAAUUCUUGUAAUUAACCUCCCCAUCCGUAGCCUAGCCCUGAUACCCAUGGAUCUGUUUGUGUCUGUACCUAUUUGCCUAAUCCAGACAUUUGGAAUAAAUGGAAUAAUAUAGCAUGUGGCCUGGUGUGUCUGGCUUUUUUUUACUUUUACACAUUCACACUUCAUUUAUACAGUCAUAAAACAUUUUAUGUUUUUAGGUUUCCAUGUUGUAGUCCGUAUUUGCAUCCCUUUUU